RNAcentral lists this ribosomal RNA (497 nucleotides) under uncultured bacterium. RNAcentral describes it as "partial 16S ribosomal RNA". It matches the Rfam family "Bacterial small subunit ribosomal RNA", at positions 28 to 507 of the family's 1533-position model. The record is from RNAcentral.
GAUGAACGCUGGCGGCGUGCCUAAUACAUGCAAGUCGAGCGAACAGACGAGGAGCUUGCUCCUCUGACGUUAGCGGCGGACGGGUGAGUAACACGUGGAUAACCUACCUAUAAGACUGGGAUAACUUCGGGAAACCGGAGCUAAUACCGGAUAAUAUAUUGAACCGCAUGGUUCAAUAGUGAAAGACGGGUUUGCUGUCACUGAUAGAUGGAUCCGCGCCGCAUUAGCUAGUUGGUAAGGUAACGGCUUACCAAGGCAACGAUGCGUAGCCGACCUGAGCGGGUGAUCGGCCACACUGGAACUGAGACACGGUCCAGACUCCUACGGGAGGCAGCAGUAGGGACUCUUCCGCAAUGGGCGAAAGCCUGACGGAGCAACGCCGCGUGAGUGAUGAAGGUCUUCGGAUCGUAAAACUCUGUUAUUAGGGAAGAACAAAUGUGUAAGUAACUAUGCACGUCUUGACGGUACCUAAUCAGAAAGCCACGGCUAACUACGUG